Macaca fascicularis (crab-eating macaque) is the source of this 2601-nucleotide long non-coding RNA. Lineage: Eukaryota; Metazoa; Chordata; Mammalia; Primates; Cercopithecidae. The record is from Ensembl.
UUAACAUCUCUGGGCCUCCAUCAGAGAAAUGCAAAUCAAAACCACAAUGAGAUACCAUCUCAUACCAGUUAGAAUGGCGAUCAUUAAAAAGUCAGGAAACAACAGGUGCUGGAGAGGAUGUGGAGAAAUAGGAACACUUUUACACUGUUGGUGGGAUUGUAAAUUAGUUCAACCAUUAUGGAAAACAGUAUGGUGAUUCCUCAAGGAUCUAGAACUAGAGGUACCAUAUGACCCAGCCAUCCCAUUACUGGGUAUAUACCCAAAGGAUUAUAAAUCAUGCUGCUAUAAAGACACAUGCACACAUAUGUUUAUUGGCACUAUUCACUAUAGCAAAGACUUGGAAUCAACCCAAAUGUCCAUCAGUGACAGACUGGAUUAAGAAAAUGUGGCACAUAUACACCAUGGAAUACUAUGCAGCCAUAAAAGGAUGAGUUUGUGUCCUUUGUAGGGACAUGGAUGCAGCUGGAAACCAUCAUUCUUAGCAAACUAUCACAAGAACACAAAACCAAACACCGCAUGUUCUCACUCAUAGGUGGGAACUGAACAAUGAGAUCACUUGGACUCGGAAGGGAACAUCACACAAUCGGGGCCUAUCGUGGAGGGGGAGAGGGAGGGAUUGCAUUGGGAGUUAUACCUGAUGUAAAUGACAAGUUGAUGGGUGCUGACGAGUUGAUGGGUGCAGCACACCAACAUGGCACAAGUAUACAUAUGUAACAAACCUGCACGCUAUGCACAUGUACCCUAGAACUUAAAGUAUAAUAAUUAAAAAAAAAAAUCUCUGGGCCUCAGUUCACUCACCUAUAAAAUGAGAACCUCAGACUAGAGAUUCCUUACUAAAUACAUAAGGAUUUUGGUGUCUCCAGUUAAAAUCUCAAGAGACUAUGAAGUUUCCCCACCUCCAGGGAGGGUUUUAUUCUAUGAGACCUGCACAUCAUUUGGGUUACUUCUGUUAAGUCAGGAAAGAAAAAGGAGACAAGAAAUUACUCAUAUAAUUUCUUUUAAGUUUAAAAAUUAAAUAGGGAAGGAUGAAGGAUUUAUUCAAUGUAUACUGAGGGCCUUCUCUGCAUGAGGUUCUGUGCUAGCCCCUGCAAUGACAGUGGUUACAAGGCUAAGCAAAGGGUUUCGGGACCACCCAAACCUUGACCCUGUCUGCUCUGGAUCAGAGCAUCUUGUUGCGUGACUCAGGCCUGAGGUCUCCCUCCACUUCCAGUGCUAGGAACUCAGCACCAUGGGAAGGGCCUGGAAGAGACUCUGGGCUGUCUCAUUCACCCCCAAAUGUUCAGCAACUGAAAAACAAGAAGGAAACCUCUGAAAGCAUGUUUAUUACAAACGAUACCUAGAUCUCCAAGUAGAGACUGUAGAUUCUUGAUAGAGAAUGGGGGUUUUAUGAAAUGUGUGUGUGGUUAUUUGUGUGUUCAUGUAGUUAUGUGUCAGUGUGUACUUGUGUGUGAGGGUAUAUAUGAGUAUUUGUGUGUAAAACGUGCCAGCAUGUGUAGUUUUCUGGGAGUGCAUUGUAUGUAUGUAGUUCUGUAUGAAUGCUUGUAGUUGCAGGUGACUGUAUUUAUGCAUAAUAAAAGUAAUGGAGCCUAUCUAAGGGUGACGGUUAUACACAAGUUUACAAUGUUUAUGUGUUGGGGCUGGGAACUGAAAAGCUGAAACACUGCAGAUGUAAUUUGAGUCAUGUGGCUAACUACUUUUUCAUAGGAUCACAUCUUGCUACAGACUUUUGUUUGCUCAACUAAUCCUCUUUUGCUUACAAUGUCACAAGGCUCACUUUUUUUGGCUUCUGAACAAACAGGCAGGUGUGUGAGGCUGCAAGUAUAGUGUCAACUAUUCAUGAAAUAAUUGCAUGCACUACCAGCCCAAUGUGACAGUCAACAUGGACUCACAAUUCCAUCCCCAGGCAAGGCAAGGAGUAUGUCUUGAGAAAUUCUCCAUGCCAUUCCUCACAGAGACCAGCUGCAGAGCAUGGAGCACAAGAAGUGUUAGCAAACAGGCUAAAUCGAUUCUGGCCUGCCUAAGUGGGAGCGGAGCUCUUCAGAUGGUAACUAUCUUUAACUAGGGUGACGUCCUUAGAGGCAGAGUCCCAUUCUCCUUUUUCUCUGCUAUUAUCCAGCUGAAAUCAAGCCCCUGAAGAGUUUCCCUGAACCAAAAGCCAAAGAGAAAUAGUGUCCAAUACAUUUAUGUUUUAAUCAGUGAGUCAGAAGGUAGCAAACCAGGGCUGAUUGCAGAUCCUACUGGCCCAUCAGCCAUGCCCAUAACUCAUUCUUUGUGCCAAAAGAUUUUUUUGCUGUGAUACAAUUCAUCUCCCUAAAAUAUUUAGCACUGACUAGCUAUAUAGUUGUAGGUGGACCAUCUGGCUUCUCCCUUGCCCAUUAUUAGAAAAUCGAUAUUGAAGUCCUUCAAUUCAGUCUGGGAGUAAUUUAAAGCAAUACCCAGAGGAAGGAGAAGAAGAGCUUUUUAUAACAAAUUAACUGUCUGCCACACAUGUUAAUUAAUAAUCUUCAAAAGGUAAAGGGAGCAAAAUAGGUAAACAAAUAAAAGCCAAGGAUAGAAUGGGAGAAUAUAGUCACAGUAAAUACAACGAAGCAUUAAUGUCCA